Molecule: transfer RNA, 73 nt
Filed under: Quasipaa exilispinosa (Hong Kong spiny frog)
Lineage: Eukaryota; Metazoa; Chordata; Amphibia; Anura; Dicroglossidae
Description: tRNA-Leu
Source: RNAcentral
GUUAAUGAAGCAAAACCGGAUAUGCGAGAGAUCUAAAUCCUCUUACAAAGGGGUUCAAGUCCCCUCACUAACU